Molecule: ribosomal RNA, 440 nt
Filed under: uncultured bacterium
Lineage: Bacteria
Description: partial 16S ribosomal RNA
Rfam family: Bacterial small subunit ribosomal RNA
Source: RNAcentral
CUACGGGUGGCUGCAGUGGGGAAUAUUGCACAAUGGGGGAAACCCUGAUGCAGCGACGCCGCGUGAGUGAAGAAGUAUUUCGGUAUGUAAAGCUCUAUCAGCAGGGAAGAAAAAUGACGGUACCUGACUAAGAAGCACCGGCUAAAUACGUGCCAGCAGCCGCGGUAAUACGUAUGGUGCAAGCGUUAUCCGGAUUUACUGGGUGUAAAGGGUGCGUAGGUGGUUAGACAAGUCUGAAGUGAAAAUCCGGGGCUCAACCCCGGAACUGCUUUGGAAACUGCCAAUCUAGAGUACAGGAGAGGUAAGUGGAAUUCCUAGUGUAGCGGUGAAAUGCGUAGAUAUUAGGAGGAACACCAGUGGCGAAGGCGGCUUACUGGACUGUAACUGACACUGAGGCACGAAAGCGUGGGGAGCAAACAGGAUUAGAUACCCUCGUAGUC